Molecule: ribosomal RNA, 206 nt
Filed under: Bacillus wiedmannii
Lineage: Bacteria; Bacillati; Bacillota; Bacilli; Caryophanales; Bacillaceae
Description: partial 16S ribosomal RNA
Rfam family: Bacterial small subunit ribosomal RNA
Source: RNAcentral
CCCCUACUCCUACGGGAGGCAGCAGUAGGGAAUCUUCCGCAAUGGACGAAAGUCUGACGGAGCAACGCCGCGUGAGUGAUGAAGGCUUUCGGGUCGUAAAACUCUGUUGUUAGGGAAGAACAAGUGCUAGUUGAAUAAGCUGGCACCUUGACGGUACCUAACCCGAAGCCCGUUGCUAACUACGUGCCAGCAGCCGCGGUAAUAAA